This 301-nucleotide ribosomal RNA is filed under the name uncultured bacterium. Its description in RNAcentral is "partial 16S ribosomal RNA". It matches the Rfam family "Bacterial small subunit ribosomal RNA", at positions 509 to 807 of the family's 1533-position model. The record is from RNAcentral.
CAGUCGCCGCGGGAAUACAGAGGAUGCAAGCGUUAUCCGGAAUGAUUGGGCGUAAAGCGUCUGUAGGUGGCUUUUCAAGGCCGCCGUCAAGUCCCAGGGCUCAACCCUGGACAGGCGGUGGAAACUACCAAGCUGGAGUACGGCAGGGGCAAAGGGAAUUUCCGGUGGAGCGGUGGAAUGCGUUGAGAUCGGAAAGAACACCAAUGGCGAAAGCACUCUGCUGGGCCGACACUGACACUGAGAGACGAAAGCUAGGGGAGCAAACGGGAUUAGAGACCCCGGUAGUCCCUGUCUCUUAUAC